Heterocephalus glaber (naked mole-rat) is the source of this 2632-nucleotide long non-coding RNA. NCBI's taxonomy places the organism in Eukaryota, Metazoa, Chordata, Mammalia, Rodentia, Bathyergidae. The record is from Ensembl.
CUUAAAUUCACAUAAAAGGAAGAAACAUGAUCAGUAUUGGAAAUGAAAGAAGAGUUCAUUCCAUGUGCUGCAAGAUGAAUUCCUAUGGGCAGCACUGCUGGGAGAAGGGCCAAUCAGUGUGUGUUGUCCCUUGAAGAAAGGGUUGCUGGGUGAGACCCUCUAGUUAAGAGAGAUGGCUCUGAAUUAGUAAAUGGGCAAAUCUCAGUCCUACUUUGAGAAGUUCACAGGGUGCUGCCAUGCGUGAUAGCAUGCCAAAUACUCCCAGAGUGUGCUUGGACAAAUGGCAUACUAAACCCAGUGCUGGGAUUGGUUAAUAGUUGUGAUGCCAUUGCCAGGGGUGGCAGGCGCAAUGCCCUAUUUUGCUUGGACUGCAGCUCAGUGGUUUUCCAACAAAGAUGUAUUUGAAUCAUCUUGAAAGCCAGGCACAGUAGUGCACACCUGUAACCCGAGUUACCAGAAACCCUGAGCCAGAAGUUGAGAUCAGCCUGGGCAACUCAGGGAGGCCUCAUCACAAAAGCAAAAAGACAUCUGGACCACAGUUUGAGUAGGUUUGGAGGGGCCAAGAAUGGGCAUUUGUAACAAGCUGAAAUGCAGUGCUGCUGAUCUGGGGACCGCAGUUUGAGAAUUACUACCCCCAGUUACCAUGAAGUUCCUUGAAUAAUUGCCUUUGGCUCUAGCAAUUCAACAACUGGAUCUUUAAUCUGCCAACAAAUAAAUUCUUCCUCUGCCGUGAAAGACAAAUAUUGAGCUGUUCAGUCCAACAUAGCUCAUUUCAACUGGCAACAGGGAACACACACCAGACCUGAAUGAACAAGUACUUCUGAAGACACUAUGUCUGAAAGAACAAGUAUCCAGGAUUCAUUUGUGACUGUCCACUUUCUGGAAAUUAUCUGAUUGAUACUUUUUUAUUAAAAAUAUCAACUUGUACUAGCAAAGGUGACCACUGACUGUAAAGCAACACUAGUGACUGGGUGUGGCACACGCCUGUAGUCCCAGCACUUGGGAGGCUAAGACAGGAGGAUCGCCAGUUCCAGGCCAGCCUGGUUACAUAGCAAGACCCUGUCUCAAAAAAUAACAAAAAUAAUGAAGCAACACUAGUGAGAACUAUUGAAAGAAAUGCCAAACAUUGCUACUUCACUGUUUGAAUCCAGACAACCUCAGUGAGGGUCACUGCACCAUGUAGUACCCAGUCUUCCCCUCUGACUGGCUAUUUGCCCCAGAGGCGAACACCUGCACUAAAGGAGACUCAUCAAAGCUGGGCGUGGUGGUGCACACUGUAAUCCCAGCAUUCAGGAGGCUGAGGCAGGAGGAUCACUGCAAGUUUGAGGCCAGGCUGAACUACAUACUGAGACCCUGUCUCAAAAAAACAAACCAAAAAACAUAAACUGGUCAGUAACAGAAUACUUGUAUGGCCUGCCUGGGGGGACUUACCUAGUCAAUUUGAAAUAAGAUUCACAAAGAGUAUUUCUGGUUGGUGCAUGCUGGAACUGAAAGCUCAUGUAGACUUAGGCCAAUUACUGUGGUUGGCAUCCUGGAGCUUAAACACCAGCCAGUGAGCAAAGAGAAGGGAGCAGAUGCUGAAGGGAGCCGUAAGUCCCUCACCACUGGAGACCUCAGCCAGUGCCACCUGAGUCCUGAUUCUUUUCCUGACUUGAGGGCAUUUGUGAGCCCAUUUGAUCCGGAAGUAACUUGAAACUAAACUGUAUUUAGACAUAUCUUAAUGCAGACCAUCUCUAAAUGACAUUUACCUAGAGAAUAUUAGGUAACUCACAGGAUCUUCUGAGGACUAGGAAAAUAAGUCUUGGAAACUACACAGUGAAAACUAGCCGAACUAUACUGUGAGAUGGCUUUGGAAAAGACCCAGUUGCUGCUCCUAAAUGUUAGAACCUGUGACACCACUGCCAUUUGAAGUAAGAUUACAUGUGCCCUCGCUUGCUCUCACUGCUGAUUUCUGAAUUGCAAUCUUGGCUUGAGUGGAUGUGCUUGGCAGAGGAUAUGUCACAUGCCUGCAGAGGCUGGGGAAGCUUUGUUUUUGGUUUUUGGUUUGUUUUGAGACAGGGUCUUGCUAUGUAGUUCAGACUGGCCUUGAACUCACCAUGUAGCCCAAGCUGGCCUUGAACUCACUAUAUAGUCCAGGCUGGCCUUGAACUCAUGGCAAUCCUCCUGCCUCAGCCUCCAGAGUUCUGGGAUUACAGGUGUGCACCACCACACCCAGCUUAUUUUGAUUUUGAUUUGGUUUGAGGACUUGUUUUGUACAAUUUGAUGUUAUUUUUUUACAUUGAGGAGGCUAGAUUCAUGAAUUUCCCAAGUCUUCAAGGGGCAUUUCAAAAGUACUGGGUAGGGCUGGGAUUUAGCUCAGUGGCACUGCACCUGCCUGGCAAGUGCAAGGUCCAGAGUUCAAUUCCCAGUACUCUGGAGGCAGGGAGCGGGGAGCACUGGGUAACCAAAACCAGGACAUACUUCUACUACAGUAUCCUAGCUGUUCAAACAAUUAAGGUUAAAUCAGGUGUGGUGGCGCAUGGUUGUAAUCCCAGCAUUUGGGAGGCUGAGGCAGGAGUAUCACUUUGAAUUCAAGGCCAGUCUGAGAUAUAUAGUGAGACCCUGUCUCAAAAAACCAAAAAUUAAAAAAAAA